RNAcentral lists this ribosomal RNA (468 nucleotides) under uncultured bacterium. RNAcentral's name for it is "partial 16S ribosomal RNA". It matches the Rfam family "Bacterial small subunit ribosomal RNA", at positions 28 to 507 of the family's 1533-position model. The record is from RNAcentral.
GACGAACGCUGGCGGCGUGCUUAACACAUGCCAGUCGAACGGAAAGGCCCUGCUUUUGUGGGGUGCUCGAGUGGCGAACGGGUGAGUAACACGUGAGUAACCUGCCCUUAACUUUGGGAUAACUUCAGGAAACUGGGGCUAAUACCGGAUAGGAGCUCCUGCUGCAUGGUGGGGGUUGGAAAGUUUCGGCGGUUGGGGAUGGACUCGCGGCUUAUCAGCUUGUUGGUGGGGUAGUGGCUUACCAAGGCUUUGACGGGUAGCCGGCCUGAGAGGGUGACCGGCCACAUUGGGACUGAGAUACGGCCCAGACUCCUACGGGAGGCAGCAGUGGGGAAUAUUGCACAAUGGGCGGAAGCCUGAUGCAGCAACGCCGCGUGCGGGAUGACGGCCUUCGGGUUGUAAACCGCUUUCGCCUGUGACGAAGCGUGAGUGACGGUAAUGGGUAAAGAAGCACCGGCUAACUACGUG